GACGAACCGUGCGAACGUUAUUCGGAAUCACUGGGCUUAAAGCGCGUGUAGGCGGCCCGGCACGUCCGUCGCUGAAAUCCCCCGGCUCAACCGGGGAAGUGGCGUGGAUACGACCGGGCUGGAGGGGGGUAGGGGGAGCCGGAACUUCCGGUGGAGCGGUGAAAUGCGUUGAGAUCGGAAGGAACGCCCGUGGCGAAAGCGGGCUCCUGGACCCCACCUGACGCCGAGACGCGAAAGCCAGGGGAGCGAACGGG
RNAcentral lists this ribosomal RNA (254 nucleotides) under uncultured bacterium. RNAcentral's name for it is "partial 16S ribosomal RNA". It matches the Rfam family "Bacterial small subunit ribosomal RNA", at positions 524 to 776 of the family's 1533-position model. The record is from RNAcentral.